GAGGGGUAUUUAUCUUCGGAUAGAGAGACCGGCGCACGGGUGCGUAACGCGUAUGCAAUCUACCUUUUGCAGAGGGAUAGCCCAGAGAAAUUUGGAUUAAUACCUCAUAGCAUAUAGAGUUGGCAUCAACACUAUAUUAAAGUCACAACGGCAAAAGAUGAGCAUGCGUCCCAUUAGCUAGUUGGUAAGGUAACGGCUUACCAAGGCUACGAUGGGUAGGGGUCCUGAGAGGGAGAUCCCCCACACUGGUACUGAGACACGGACCAGACUCCUACGGGAGGCAGCAGUGAGGAAUAUUGGACAAUGGGCGCAAGCCUGGUCCAGCCAUGCCGCGUGCAGGAUGACGGUCCUAUGGAUUGUAAACUGCUUUUGCACAGGAAGAAACAACGCUACGUGUAGCGUCUUGACGGUACUGUGAGAAUAAGGAUCGGCUAACUCCGUGCCAGCAGCCGCGGUAAUACGGAGGAUCCAAGCGUUAUCCGGAAUCAUUGGGUUUAAAGGGUCCGUAGGCGGUUUAGUAAGUCAGUGGUGAAAGCCCAUCGCUCAACGGUGGAACGGCCAUUGAUACUGCUAGACUUGAAUUAUUAGGAAGUAACUAGAAUAUGUAGUGUAGCGGUGAAAUGCUUAGAGAUUACAUGGAAUACCAAUUGCGAAGGCAGGUUACUACUAAUGGAUUGACGCUGAUGGACGAAAGCGUGGGUAGCGAACAGGAUUAGAUACCCUGGUAGUCCACGCCGUANACGAUGGAUACUAGCUGUUGGGAGCGAUCUCAGUGGCUAAGCGAAAGUGAUAAGUAUCCCACCUGGGGAGUACGUUCGCAAGAAUGAAACUCAAAGGAAUUGACGGGGGCCCGCACAAGCGGUGGA
Molecule: ribosomal RNA, 866 nt
Filed under: uncultured bacterium
Lineage: Bacteria
Description: bacterial SSU rRNA
Rfam family: Bacterial small subunit ribosomal RNA
Source: RNAcentral